GAUCUUGGUCAGGACGAACGCUGGCGGCGUGCCUAACACAUGCAAGUCGAGCGAGGAGAUUCCUCGGGAUGAUCCUAGCGGCGGACGGGUGAGUAACACGUGGGCAACCUGCCUCAUAGAGAGGAAUAGCCUUCCGAAAGGGAGAUUAAUACCUCAUAACAUUGCAGUUUCGCAUGGAACAGCAAUUAAAGGAGCAAUCCGCUAUGAGAUGGGCCCGCGGCGCAUUAGCUAGUUGGUGAGGUAACGGCUCACCAAGGCGACGAUGCGUAGCCGACCUGAGAGGGUGAUCGGCCACAUUGGGACUGAGACACGGCCCAGACUCCUACGGGAGGCAGCAGUGGGGAAUAUUGCACAAUGGGGGAAACCCUGAUGCAAGCAACGUCGCGUGAGUGAUGACGGCCUUCGGGUUGUAAAGCUCUGUCUUCAGGGACGAUAAUGACGGUACCUGAGGAGGAAGCCACGGCUAACUACGUGCCAGCCGCAGC
RNAcentral lists this ribosomal RNA (485 nucleotides) under uncultured bacterium. Its description in RNAcentral is "bacterial SSU rRNA". It matches the Rfam family "Bacterial small subunit ribosomal RNA", at positions 15 to 518 of the family's 1533-position model. The record is from RNAcentral.